GGAUGAACGCUAGCGGCAGGCUUAAUACAUGCAAGUCGUGGGGCAGCAUGAGUAGCAAUACUUGAUGGCGACCGGCAAACGGGUGAGGAACACGUACACAACCUUCCUUCAAGCGGGGAAUAGCCCAGAGAAAUUUGGAUUAAUACCCCAUAAUAUAUUUGAUAAGGCAUCUUAUUAAUAUUAAAGCUUCGGCACUUGAUGAUGGGUGUGCGGCUGAUUAGAUAGUUGGCGGGGUAACGGCCCACCAAGUCUACGAUCAGUAGCUGAUGUGAGAGCAUGAUCAGCCACACGGGCACUGAGACACGGGCCCGACUCCUACGGGAGGCAGCAGUAAGGGAUAUUGGACAAUGGACGAAAGUCUGAUCCAGCCAUGCCGCGUGAAGGAUUAAGGUCCUCUGGAUUGUAAACUUCUUUUAUAUGGGACGAAAAAGGGGCAUUCUUGUUCACUUGACGGUACCAUAUGAAUAAGCACCGGCUAACUCCGUG
Molecule: ribosomal RNA, 486 nt
Filed under: uncultured bacterium
Lineage: Bacteria
Description: bacterial SSU rRNA
Rfam family: Bacterial small subunit ribosomal RNA
Source: RNAcentral